Molecule: long non-coding RNA, 251 nt
Organism: Drosophila pseudoobscura
Lineage: Eukaryota; Metazoa; Arthropoda; Insecta; Diptera; Drosophilidae
Exons: 2
Source: RefSeq, a predicted model, not a curated record
UUAAAAAAUAUGAGAAAUGUUUUUUUUAAAUAAUAAUGAGAGGAAUUACUUGGAAUUCAUCUUAGGACAUUUUCCAUAUCUAGAAGUUAAGUUUCGUUACACAAAUUAGGUUUCCGCGCCCUCGAAAGCGCGCCUUUUCCGUAGGUACUCUCCUCCAGACAAACACAGAAAAACACACAGAACCCAGCAAGGAAGGCCAUAUUCGCGGGGGGAACGAAGUGGAAGAUACCCUUGAGAACAGGGCUUUUGGG